RNAcentral lists this ribosomal RNA (253 nucleotides) under uncultured bacterium. Its description in RNAcentral is "partial 16S ribosomal RNA". It matches the Rfam family "Bacterial small subunit ribosomal RNA", at positions 524 to 776 of the family's 1533-position model. The record is from RNAcentral.
UACAGAGGUCUCAAACGUUGUUCGGAUUCAUUGGGCGUAAAGGGUGCGUAGGCGGCGCGGUAAGUCGGGGGUGAAAUCUCGGGGCUUAACUCCGAAACUGCAUUCGAUACUGCCGUGCUUGAGGACUGGAGAGGAGACUGGAAUUUACGGUGUAGCGGUGAAAUGCGUAGAUAUCGUAAGGAAGACCAGUGGCGAAGGCGGGUCUCUGGACAGUUCCUGACGCUGAGGCACGAAGGUCAGGGGAGCAAACGGG